Molecule: unclassified non-coding RNA, 416 nt
Filed under: soil metagenome
Description: partial contains 5.8S ribosomal RNA, internal transcribed spacer 2, and large subunit ribosomal RNA
Rfam family: 5.8S ribosomal RNA (bases 1-120)
Source: RNAcentral
GAUGAAGAACGUAGCGAAAUGCGAUAAGUAAUGUGAAUUGCAGAAUUCAGUGAAUCAUCGAAUCUUUGAACGCACCUUGCGCUCCUUGGUAUUCCUCGGAGCAUGCCUGUUUGAGUAUCAUGAAACUCUCAAAGAAAAUCUUUUGUUAAUUCAAUUGGUUUGCUUUGGACUUGGAGGUUUUUUUUUGCAGAUUAAUUUCUGCUCCUCUUAAAUAUAUUAGCUGGAUCUCAGUAUAUGCUCGGUUCCACUCGGCGUGAUAAGUAUCACUCGCUGAGGACACUGGUAAAAAAGGUGGCCGGGAAAUACAGAUGAACCGCUUCAAACAGUCCAUUCACUUGGACAAUAUAAAGUUUUAAGAUCUGAUCUCAAAUCAGGUAGGACUACCCGCUGAACUUAAGCAUAUCAUAAGCGGAGGA